CCCAGACUAACAUUAAACACAGUCUUUACCUUCCUGAAACCAGAGAGCAUCUGUACCUCUUCCUGAAAGAGAAGUCUGGUUACAGCUGUCUGCCGAGAGGUGGGGCGUCGUCAGGGAAACCAGCUUCAUUAGGGGUGUAAUUAACAUCCGUGCUAGACAAUGGAUGCCAUGGUGAUGGACUCACUUUCGGUGUUCUAAGGGAUGACGUUAUGCAGAAAUGGCCUUUCAUAGAAAUGAGGACACCGCAAGGCUGGCACAGAUUCAAAGACGCAAAAAGAAUUGGGUACAUUAGUCUUUGACAGGUAUGAAUGGCCUAAAUAAACAGUAAAGAGUUGCGAGCAGG
This 343-nucleotide long non-coding RNA is filed under the name Sinocyclocheilus anshuiensis. RNAcentral's name for it is "lncRNA (ENSSANG00000026634.1)". Lineage: Eukaryota; Metazoa; Chordata; Actinopteri; Cypriniformes; Cyprinidae. The record is from RNAcentral.